This 253-nucleotide ribosomal RNA is filed under the name uncultured bacterium. RNAcentral's name for it is "partial 16S ribosomal RNA". It matches the Rfam family "Bacterial small subunit ribosomal RNA", at positions 524 to 776 of the family's 1533-position model. The record is from RNAcentral.
UACGAAUGGGGCAAGCGUUGUUCGGAAUCACUGGGCUUAAAGCGUGCGUAGGCGGACUUGCAAGUCAGGAGUGAAAGCCAGGGGCUUAACCUCUGAACUGCUCUUGAAACUGCAAGUCUAGAAUCCUGGAGAGGUUGGGAGAAUUCCUAGUGUAGAGGUGAAAUUCGCAGAUAUUAGGAGGAAUACCAGUGGCGUAGGCGCCCAACUGGACAGGCAUUGACGCUGAGGCACGAAAGCGUGGGGAGCAAACAGG